Molecule: ribosomal RNA, 193 nt
Filed under: Theileria annulata
Lineage: Eukaryota; Apicomplexa; Aconoidasida; Piroplasmida; Theileriidae
Description: partial 18S ribosomal RNA
Rfam family: Eukaryotic small subunit ribosomal RNA
Source: RNAcentral
ACGGAGUUUCUUUGUCUGAAUGUUUACUUUGAGAAAAUUAGAGUGCUCAAAGCAGGCUUUCGCCUUGAAUAGUUUAGCAUGGAAUAAUAAAGUAGGACUUUGGUUCUAUUUUGUUGGUUUUAGGUACCAAAGUAAUGGUUAAUAGGAACAGUUGGGGGCAUUCGUAUUUAACUGUCAGAGGUGAAAUUCUUAG